UACGUAGGGGGCUAGCGUUGUCCGGAUUUAUUGGGCGUAAAGAGCGUGUAGGCGGCCAGAUAGGUCUGCUGUGAAAACUCGAGGCUCAACCUCGAGACGCCGGUGGAAACUGCAAAGCUAGAGUCCGGAAGAGGAGAGUGGAAUUCCUGGUGUAGCGGGGAAAUGCGCAGAUAUCAGGAAGAACACCCGUGGCGAAGGCGG
Molecule: ribosomal RNA, 201 nt
Filed under: uncultured prokaryote
Description: partial 16S ribosomal RNA
Rfam family: Bacterial small subunit ribosomal RNA
Source: RNAcentral